This is a long non-coding RNA of Entelurus aequoreus (snake pipefish), 1380 nucleotides long. RefSeq lists it as uncharacterized. The record is from RefSeq and is a predicted model, not a curated record. Lineage: Eukaryota; Metazoa; Chordata; Actinopteri; Syngnathiformes; Syngnathidae. The transcript has 4 exons.
UGUGUGUGUGUGUGUGUGUGUGUGAGUAAUCAGAAGUCAUGCGCGGCGUUUCAAAACCACAACGUGAUUGCGGCAAUCAAGAGCGUUCAACACAAUGGCCUUUUUUUUUCACCUCUUUUUUUUUCUCCCCCAAAUACGUUUUUCUUGAAAUGUUGGCAGCCUGUUUUUUUUUAAUUUUUUUUUUUACGUUCUACGUUUUAAUGAUCUUUCUGAUUUCCCAGGAGCCCUGAAUGCAGCGUGAGUCAUCAUUUUCCACGAAGCGGGAAGUAGCUUGCUCGCAAACAAACAGCAGAUAAACCGACACACAGAGGAGCCGCCGUGACAGGAAGUAGACCACCACCAUGCUUCACCAGAGAUGAGACGACGGCGGUUUAAUGUCUUCAUGACGUCAAUUUGACAUAAUGCGGCUCGCUCGCAAAACCAUCCAAAAGCGGAAAGACCAGAAAGCCGGAGAAGGUGGAGUACUGCCAUCCGCCCACCAGGUUGCCCUUUUCCAGCUUCAGGUAGAUCUUGUCCUCCUUUUCCAGGUAGAGCAGGACUCCGUUGGUGGCCGCCUCGCGGGUCACGUCCUUGUCGCCCGCGAAGGCCGAGAUGACCGGCCUCCCGUUCAGCAUCAGGUUCACCUGGCCAACGCAAGACCACACGGAUCAGGUCACGCAGGUGAAGCUAUUACAGCUUCAACUCUUCUGGGAGGGCUGUCCACAAGGUUGCGGAGUGUGUUUAUAGGAAUUUCAAAAGCGCAUUGGUGAGGUCACACACUGAUGUUGGUGAAGAAGGCCUGGCUCUCAGUCUCUGUUCUAAUUCAUCCCCAAGGUGUUCUAUUUGGGUUCAGGUCAGGACUCUGUGCAGGCCAGUCAAUGUCAUCCACACCGGACUCUGUCAUCCAUGUCUUUAUGGACCUUGCUUUUGUGCACUGGUGCACAGUCACGUUGGAAGAAGAAGGGGCCCGCUCCAAACUGUUCCCACAAGGAAUUGUCCACAAUGUUUUGGUAUCCUGGAGCAUUCAAAGGUCCUUUCACUGGAACUAAGGGGCCAAGCCCAACUCCUGAAAAACAACCCCACACCAUAAUUCCUCCUCCAUCAAAUUUCACACUCAUCCGAAAUGUCACGUUCUCUUGGCGAACCUCCAAACCCAGACUGGUCCAUCAGGUUGCCAGAUGGAAAAGCGUGAUUCAUCAGUCCAGAGAAGGCGUCUCCACUGCUCUAGAGUCCAGUGGCGACGUGCUUUCCACCACUGCAUCCCCCGCUCUGCAUUGGACUUGGUGAUGUAUGGCUUAGAUGCAGCUGCUCGGCCAUGGAAACCCAUUCCACGAAGCUCUCUGCGUACUGCACGUGGGCUAACAGGAAGAUCAAAUGAAGUUUGGAGCGCCGUAGCAACUG